Molecule: transfer RNA, 76 nt
Filed under: Gammaproteobacteria bacterium
Lineage: Bacteria; Pseudomonadati; Pseudomonadota; Gammaproteobacteria
Also listed under: 4 other names
Description: tRNA-Glu
Rfam family: tRNA
About the family: Transfer RNA (tRNA) molecules are approximately 80 nucleotides in length. Their secondary structure includes four short double-helical elements and three loops (D, anti-codon, and T loops). Further hydrogen bonds mediate the characteristic L-shaped molecular structure. tRNAs have two regions of fundamental functional importance: the anti-codon, which is responsible for specific mRNA codon recognition, and the 3' end, to which the tRNAs corresponding amino acid is attached (by aminoacyl-tRNA synthetases). tRNAs cope with the degeneracy of the genetic code in two manners: having more than one tRNA (with a specific anti-codon) for a particular amino acid; and 'wobble' base-pairing, i.e. permitting non-standard base-pairing at the 3rd anti-codon position.
Source: RNAcentral
GCUCCCUUCGUCUAGUGGUCCAGGACACCGCCCUCUCACGGCGGGAACAGGGGUUCGAGUCCCCUAGGGAGCACCA